This is a non-coding RNA of Xyrichtys novacula (pearly razorfish), 3575 nucleotides long. Lineage: Eukaryota; Metazoa; Chordata; Actinopteri; Labriformes; Labridae. The record is from the annotation of a GenBank genome assembly.
GGGGAAAGAAGAUAGGCGCUCCGCGGCAAGGUUUGCUGGGACUCGGUGCCGUCGGCGGGUCGAAGCUCGGUGGUGGGCGGCUUGGAGUGAUGGAGGUGUCUUCUUUCAGUUGGCGGCGCGGCGUCUUCCUCGAGGCGGUGGUCGGUCUUCUAGGUCCAGUGGUCAGUGCUUUGUCUCAAUAACAGGAACAGGAAUUGCUCUUUAGUGCACAGCACUUAAAUGUGCUUUUGACAGGAGAAGACAUCCCCAGAGUUGGGCUCGAGUCAUGGUUUGUGCUGUUCCUCUCAGACAUGGUUGUGUUCUCUUCUCGAUGUUUGUAUUCCAGAAUGGAUGUCUCUUGGUUGUAUUUUAAACUUUCAAGUUGUUUUAAGUUAAUUUUAAUGUAGUUUAUUUGUUUUAAAUUUAGUUUUGCUACAUUAAAUUUGUAUGCAAUCGUAAGGGAUUGUGGGUAUUUUAGUUCUGAGGGAUGAGAGCCUAAGGAAUCAAUCUUCAUGUUACAGCAAAGGAUUGUGGGUAAAACCGUGAGUGAGUGAGGUACUUCCUUUCUGCCAUGAGAGCCUUGGGAAUCAAUCUCCCUGUUGCAGCAAAGGAUUGUGGGUAAAACCGUGAGUAAGGGAGGUACAUUUUUCCUGGCAUGAGAACCUCAGGAGUCAGUCCUUCCUAAGAAAAAAGAGGGGAGGGGGGGAAGACAAACAAAAGCACAGGAACCCUAAAAUGAAAUAAAAUAAAAUAAAAUAAAAUAAUAUAAAACAAUGAAAAAAUAAAAAAGAAGAACAAAAGUGGAUUGCAAAAGGGAAAGGAGAAGAAAAAAGGAAAAAAAGAAGUGUCAAGAGCAAAUAGCAAAAAACAGAAGUGAGCUUAAAAACAGAGAACAGUUCCCUAAAAGACAGACAGAAAUGUAAAUUUGAUCAAUGUCCUAAGGGAAAAUCUGCACGUGUAUGUGUUUUCUUUUUUACUAGCUUAGUCUGGUGUCACUGAUGGUCAGUUAUCAAUAAGUAUUUAUUAUUUAAAUUUUUGAUGAAGUUGUUUGUAGUGGGGUUAGCUGGCUAAUUUUAGUGUGUUAAAAAAGAUGUUAGAGGGGGAGGAUUUAGGUGGCAUGGCGGUUCCCCUUCAGGUCUCUCUUAAUCCUCAAUAUAGGUGACCCAACAGGGGUUACCCCCCGGCCGGGGUAGGCCGAGGCUGAAGAUCACCUAUUUGUCCUCUGUGAAGGUGAAAAUAAAGGGGCAGGGGAGGGAAUAAGAAAGAGGGGGGGUGUUAGAGAGAGGGGGAGAGAUGAGGGAGAGAGAUGAGGGAGAGAGAGAGAGAGAGGGGGGGGGGGGUGAGAGAGAGAGAGAGAGAAGGGAAGAGGGAGAGGGGGGUUUAAGGGAGAGGUGGAGAUGGUGGAAAAUAAAGAUUGGUGAGGGGGAUUUGGUGGCGGAUGAAACAUCCCAUAGCUCCCCAGCUCUCACCAUCCAUGUGAGGAGAGUGAGCAAGGGACAUAGUCACCCGACCCGACUAGGUCUAGGCUCUGCUCUCCUCACGGUCCUCACAAGAUACAAAGAGAUAUGUAAACGUGGAAGUGAGAGUUCUCUAGGCAGAGUUUUGGGUUUGGUUUGAGCUGAGUUGGUCAGUUGAUUAUUGAUUACUAUUUUAAGUUCUAAAAGUAAAUAGAGUCAAAAAGUCACAGAGGAUUGUGGUGGGAGCAGGUGGUCCAUCUGGCACCAUUCUGCUCAUGCAGGGAUUCGAGUGAUAGAAAGAGAAUAGAUCUUGCCACCGUGACUCGCCAUUGAGACUCUCCUCACCUGCUGGUUUUCAUCCUCUGAUAGGAGAGAGAGGUACAGAUCAGGAGAGAGGGAGAAAAGGAGGGAGGCAGGGUGGGGUCAGGAGUUAAUUUGUCUUGAAAAGUAUUUAUCUUUUCGUCAUUGCUGUUAGGGUUUAGAUGUUUUUUGUUUAGUUUUCUGAGGAAUGUAGUGUUAGUAUAGGUUCCAAGGUGGAGGAUUCUUUGGAAUUCACUCUCACCCUUGAAACUGGAAGAUCUUAGAUUCUAUAAAGGGGGGGGGGGGGGGUGAGAGGUUGUGUGCACAGAAGGAGCAUGGGCUCAGACUAUUCUCGGAAUGAUAUUGUGACAAGUCUGUCCGAAGGUAAGUGGCUGGUUAGGUGUGGGAAAGAGAUAGAGUGAUAGCCCCCGCUUUCGUCAGUUGACUUGGCGGUUUGAGGUAGGCUGAUCAAGGGCUUGCACUGGCCGGCGCAUGUCGACCUGUCACAUGUUCCAGUCGAGUCUCCGAGCUCAAUCUGUGUGUAAAAAUUGUGUGUUGGUAGAAAGUUUAAUGACUCAGCUCAGUUGGUAUGCUAUGCUGUCUAUCUUUUAGACUAUGUGUUUGUAGAGCAAUAUUAUGUAUAUAUUUUGUUACAGGGCUAGGAAAAGGUUAAAGGUUUUUGACGUUAGGGUUAAAAUCACUGUCCAAAACCUUUGUAGGAACUCUUUUCCAACCUUUUGGAGGGAGCUAGACUAAAAAAAAAAGAAAAAAGAAAAAAAAAAAUUGGGGGUGUUCGGGCUUCCUGAAGGUAAUACCCGGGUAUUAGGUUACGGGGCUAGGGUAAGGUUUAAGGCUUUUGGCGUAUGGCUUAAAAUCACUGUCCAAAACCUUUUUAGGAACAUGUUUCAGACCUUUUGGAGUUAGUUAGACCAAAAAAAAUGAAAAAUGAAAAAAAUAUAUUUGGGGUGUUCAGGCUUCCUGAAGGUAAUACCCGGGUAUUAGGUUAGGGGCUGAGGUAAGGUUUAAGGUGUUUGGUGUGAGGGUUAAAAUCACUGUCCAAAACCUUUGUAGGAACUCUUUUCCAACCUUUUGGAGUUAGUUAGACCAAAAAAAAAAAACGAAAAAUGAAAAAACAAUAUUUGGGGUUUUCGGGCUUCCUGAAGGUAAUACCCGGGUAUUAGGUUAUGGGGCUAGGGUAAGGUUUAAGGUUUUUGGCGUGAGGGUUAAAAUCACUGUCCAAAACCUUUGUAGGAACUCUUUUCCAACCUUUUGGAGUUAGUUAGACCACAAAAAAUGAAAAAUAAAAAAAAAAUAUUUGGGGUGUUCGGGCUUCCUGAAGGUAAUACCCGGUAUUAGGUUUUGGGGCUAGGGUAAGGUUUAAGGUUUUUGGCGUUAGGGUUAAAAUCACUGUCCAAAACCUUUUUAGGAACAUGUUUCAGACCUUUUGGAGAUGGUUACACCAAAAAAAAUGUAAAAUGAAAAAAAAAAUAUUUGGGGUGUUUGGGCUUCCUGAAGGUAAUACCCGGGUAUUAGGUUAUGGGGCUAGGGUAAGGUUUAAGGUUUUUGGCGUGAGGGUUAAAAUCACUGUCCAAAACCUUUGUAGGAAGUCUUUUCCAACCUUUUGGAGUUAGUUAGACCAAUAAAAAAAUGAAAAAUAAAAAAUAAAAAAUUUGGGGUGUUCGGGCUUCCUGAAGGUAAUACCCGGGUAUUAGGUUUUGGGGCUAGGAUUAGGUUUAAGGUUUUUGGCGUUAGGGUUAAAAUCACUGUCCAAUAUUUUUUAAGGAACAUGUUUCAGACCUUUUGGAGUUAGUUAGACCAAAAAAAAAGAAAAAAGAAAAA